CCUACGGGCGGCAGCAGUGGGGAAUAUUGGACAAAGGGGGCAACCCUGAUCCAGCCAUGCCGCGUGUGUGAAGAAGGCCCUCGGGUUGUAAAGCACUUUCAGUGAGGAAGAACGCCUGGUGGUUAAUACCCAUCAGGAAAGACAUCACUCACAGAAGAAGCACCGGCUAACUCCGUGCCAGCAGCCGCGGUAAUACGGAGGGUGCGAGCGUUAAUCGGAAUUACUGGGCGUAAAGCGCGCGUAGGUGGCUUGAUAAGCCGGUUGUGAAAGCCCCGGGCUCAACCUGGGAACGGCAUCCGGAACUGUCAAGCUAGAGUGCAGGAGAGGAAGGUAGAAUUCCCGGUGUAGCGGUGAAAUGCGUAGAGAUCGGGAGGAAUACCAGUGGCGAAGGCGGCCUUCUGGACUGACACUGACACUGAGGUGCGAAAGCGUGGGUAGCAAACAGGAUUAGAUACCCUGGUAGUC
This 465-nucleotide ribosomal RNA is filed under the name Vreelandella stevensii. RNAcentral's name for it is "partial 16S ribosomal RNA". It matches the Rfam family "Bacterial small subunit ribosomal RNA", at positions 338 to 795 of the family's 1533-position model. The record is from RNAcentral. Lineage: Bacteria; Pseudomonadati; Pseudomonadota; Gammaproteobacteria; Oceanospirillales; Halomonadaceae.